GCCGGGAUGGUGAAACUGGUAGACGCACGGGACUCAAAAUCCCGCGGGGGCAACCCCAUGGGGGUUCGACUCCCCCUCCCGGCACCA
This 87-nucleotide transfer RNA is filed under the name Nitrospirae bacterium RIFCSPLOWO2_02_42_7. Its description in RNAcentral is "tRNA-Leu". It matches the Rfam family "tRNA". Rfam says of the family: Transfer RNA (tRNA) molecules are approximately 80 nucleotides in length. The record is from RNAcentral. RNAcentral also lists the same sequence under 2 other names. Lineage: Bacteria; Pseudomonadati; Nitrospirota.